AGCGAACGCUGGCGGCAGGCCUAACACAUGCAAGUCGAACGAACCUUUCGGGGUUAGUGGCGGACGGGUGAGUAACACGUGGGAACGUGCCUUUAGGUUCGGAAUAACUCAGGGAAACUUGUGCUAAUACCGAAUGUGCCCUUCGGGGGAAAGAUUUAUCGCCUUUAGAGCGGCCCGCGUCUGAUUAGCUAGUUGGUUGAGGUAAUGGCUCAUCAAGGCGACGAUCAGUAGCUGGUCUGAGAGGAUGAUCAGCCACAUUGGGACUGAGACACGGCCCAAACUCCUACGGGAAGCAGCAGUGGGGAAUCUUGCGCAAUGGGCGAAAGCCUGACGCAGCCAUGCCGCGUGAAUGAUGAAGGUCUUAGGAUUGUAAAAUUCUUUCACCGGGGACGAUAAUGACGGUACCCGGAGAAGAAGCCCCGGCUAACUUCGUG
This 434-nucleotide ribosomal RNA is filed under the name uncultured bacterium. RNAcentral's name for it is "partial 16S ribosomal RNA". It matches the Rfam family "Bacterial small subunit ribosomal RNA", at positions 29 to 507 of the family's 1533-position model. The record is from RNAcentral.